GCUCGUCGACACAGCGUGUUCACUAGAGCUCUUACACGUCAGCCCCGUAUUACCGCGACUCAGCGCAUGGAGCUAAAUAACUUUGGGUACGGAUUACGUCCCCCUCACUGCGAGCGAGGCGCUGAGAAUUGGGCCCGGUUCUUCCCGGGGCGGGGGGGGUGGCAGAACCAGCAGGACUUUGCCGCGCCGUGCAGAGAGGAUGAUGGGAUAUCUGUUGCUCGUGUCUCGUUGGAGAAUGUCUGAGGCGAAGAGGCCGUCGUGGGUUAUCGCUCUGCCGACCGUGGGCGAGUUGGUCCCACGGUCAGAGGGGGAAAGGGAAGCGGCUGAGAGUUUGGCACUGUCGGGUUUUUAUCCUCCCGAUACACCCUGACAGCCCAGUCAUCUGCUGAACUAAUGAGGUCAAAACCGCACAGACUUAUCUGGUCAAGGAGACGGAGGGCGUGCGUGCACUCGGCAUUCCUGGCUGGGAUUCCUCUCCGUAGCCGUUAAUGGGGAACAUAAAACAACGUGUCUGGCUUUGCGGCUCGGCGAGACGACGUUUUUCUGGCAACUUAAUCAUAGUUAUGGGCGUUAGGAGGCUCUUUACGGCAGUAAACGAUCAGGGUUUUAAUCUGUUAAAUCUAAUCAAGUGUUAUGUUUUGUGAAAUCAAUGUUUCAAAGUGUUUUUCAUUAAAAUAGAGGCUUAAUUUGUUACAGUGAAUCUGUCAGGAUCGUCCAGUGGAUAAGAAUUACAUACGGCCUAUUAUUACACAUUUCAUAUGGCGUACAUAUUUGUUUUCUGUGAUGCCUGAGCCAAUAUCCAAUUAUCAUGAAAGAAAAUAGAGUUAUGCUUCUCCAA
Molecule: long non-coding RNA, 838 nt
Organism: Conger conger (European conger)
Lineage: Eukaryota; Metazoa; Chordata; Actinopteri; Anguilliformes; Congridae
Exons: 2
Source: RefSeq, a predicted model, not a curated record